This 502-nucleotide ribosomal RNA is filed under the name uncultured bacterium. RNAcentral's name for it is "partial 16S ribosomal RNA". It matches the Rfam family "Bacterial small subunit ribosomal RNA", at positions 29 to 523 of the family's 1533-position model. The record is from RNAcentral.
AUUGAACGCUAGCGGCAUGCCUUACACAUGCAAGUCGAACGGCAGCGGGGGAGCUUGCUCCCGCCGGCGAGUGGCGAACGGGUGAGUAAUACAUCGGAACGUACCCAGUAGCGGGGGAUAGCCCGGCGAAAGCCGGAUUAAUACCGCAUACGCCCUACGGGGGAAAGGGGGGGAUCGCAAGACCUCUCAUUAUUGGAGCGGCCGAUGAGUGAUUAGCUAGUUGGUGGGGUAAAGGCCUACCAAGGCGACGAUCAGUAGCUGGUCUGAGAGGACGACCAGCCACACGGGGACUGAGACACGGCCCAGACUCCUACGGGAGGCAGCAGUGGGGAAUUUUGGACAAUGGGCGAAAGCCUGAUCCAGCAAUGCCGCGUGUGCGAAGAAGGCCUUCGGGUUGUAAAGCACUUUUGUCAGGGAUGAAAUCGUUUGGGUUAAUACCCCGAGCAGUUGACGGUACCUGAAGAAUAAGCACCGGCUAACUACGUGCCAGCCGCCGCAGUAA